UGAAGGAUAUCCAUAGGUUGGUUAACUUAAGAUUUCAUCUCUUAGACUUUGGGGAUAGAGAAGUAAUUGUUUAGAAAGAGGUUAUAUCAUCUCUUUGUGCUGAGGUGAAGGAGAAAUAGGUUUUGGAUCCCAUACUUAUGCAUAUUAAGGAUUUUAUAGGUUAACAAAAGGUUAUAUCAUUAGAGAUUGCAGGAGAUAGCAUCUUGAGGUAUCGAGAAAGGUUGUGUAUUCCUAAC
RNAcentral lists this long non-coding RNA (236 nucleotides) under Capsicum annuum. Its description in RNAcentral is "long non-coding RNA (CANN_LNC012678)". Lineage: Eukaryota; Viridiplantae; Streptophyta; Magnoliopsida; Solanales; Solanaceae. The record is from RNAcentral.